AGAUCCAGGCUUGACUCUUACUUGGAAAAACUGCCCUAACCUGAAAAAACUGUAGGGUAGAAUUCAAGGUUUAAAAAUAAUGGCCAAAAGACUGCAUUUCACUCAAGAAAUAGCCUAGAAAGGCUGAAGUCAUGAAGAGCAGGAAAGAAUAAAGCAAGAAGAAAAGGUCACCAUAGGAUCAGGCUGUCUGUUUAAAUACUGAAAAGACAAGGACCAAUAGCAUAUUGAAGUUCCUGGGCCAGGGAUCCAGUUUGCACUACAGCAGUGACCCGAGCCAUGGCAGUAACAAUGCAAGAUCCUUAACCAGCUGAGCCCCCAGAUUCAAAGACCCAAGAUUCAACAGCAAUGAGCCUGAAGAUGAACAUGUAAAGGAUAAGAAGUCUAUGAGGUUGUCAGGCCCUGACCCUUAGACUGUCCCCCCAGGGAAAGAGUAGCCAUGGCAGCCUCAGGUGCCCUCAAUGGCUCUGGAGGGCCGUGGAGGGGGACUUCCAGAAUAUAUCGUAAAGCGGUUGGCUCUGGGAGGGAAUGAUAGAGUGGGUUGUAUGAAGUUCUGCUCAGCAGGAAAAAGAGGGAGAGAGAGAGAAGAAUCCAUUUCUGAGCACUGAGAAGUAUCAAAAUAUUUGGGUAACAGAACCCUGAGAAAGACUGGAACUCCUACAAGAGAAGUGGAUCGGUGCUUUAGAGCAUCACGACUGGGGUUCUAAGGUAAUGCCACAUAAUAUUGAGGUAGAAAUAUUAGUCUCUAAUAUUGAGACAGAAAUAUUUAGAUUAUAGAGUUAGGGAUAUAGUCAGCCAAAAUACCUAAUAAUAUUAACUGUUGCUUAAUAACAGGUAAUUCCAUCAUUCCUCUCUGCAGACACAUUGAAUAUUGAUUUAAGAGAAAAGCCAUGGUCUGGCCCAUUUUGCUUUGGGAGGUUCAUGUGACUCUUUACUGAUAGCAAAUGGCAAAGGUAAACCAUGUAUGCUCAAUACCAUCAGUAAAGGGAGUCUUGGUAAUAUGUUACCUAAAGUGGCUAUGAGUGUUCUGUUUCUGGUACUGUCAAUAGGACACAUGUAUUAUCCCUUUCCCAACUUUUACUUUCAGUUUUAUUCUUGUCCAGUAAUAGACUUGCUCUUUAAUUUUGCCACCAUAGGACUCAAGAGUCUAAACUUGAAAAAAAAAAAAAUUUUUUUUUUUCUUUGUUUACUUUGUUUUCGUUUCUAACCUUGUUUUGGCCUCACCGAACUUCAGUAAUCACUGAAGACUGUUAACAUCCUUUGGCUGAGAUGGUUAUUUUUUAUUUCAGAUUUAGGGGAUCAAUUUCAUAGAUUUUCCUCUUGGGUAGGGUUUUCCUGUGAUCACUAAAUCCUGCCAGUGGUGGGCGGGAGCAGCGAGGGUGAGAAAAAAGGGAGUUGGAGGGAGGGAGAAUGGAAGGAACAAAGGGAAGAAAAGAGGAAUGUCAGGUCAGUUGAGGUUCAAAUUGUCACCCACAUUCCAAAGCUCUCCUGAGCCUUGAUUUCCAUACUUAGAAGAAGAUGAUGCAGUGUAAUGGUUAAAUUAAAUAUCAGAUUAAAAUUCUUAGUAUCUGGUGAGAGUCUACUUAGUUCAGAUGGCUGCGUUUUUGCUGUAACCUCACCAAGUGGAAGGGUCUCGUUCUCUCUCUCUUUUUUUUUUUUUUCUCAAGUUCUUGUGCCAGGGAUUGAACCUGUGCCACAGCACUGACAAAGCCCAAUCUUUAAGCAGCUGAGCCACUAGGGAACUCCCUCUGGGAUCCCUUUUAUAAGGGCGCUAGUCUUGUUCCUGGAGGAUCUGCCCUGAAGACUUAAUGGUCUCCUAAAGGGCCCAUCUCCAAAUACCCUCACUCAGGGCAUCAGGUUUCAACAUAUGAAUUUAGGGGGACAGAAACAUUCAAUCUAUAGCCAUUUGUUUUGGUUGAAAUAAACUUUCCAAAAUCUGUAACAUACGAAAAGCAGGAGGAGAAGGAAGAAGAGAAGGGGUAUUGGAGAAAUUUAAGGGCUCUUUUAGAAGUGAAAAUACAGGCCACCUCAAAAGGCACUGGAGUAAGAACAGGCCAGCCACCUAGAAACAGGGCAACUUGUCACUCUGACUUUUCUUUUCUGGGCUCUUAACAUUCUCUUGCCUGAAUCCAGCUCAUUUUCUCCUGAGUCUGCAGCCUGGCUGCCUUCCCAGCUUCCCCUUGCUACUGCCCACCCACAGUUACCCCUCAGGGCCUUCCAUUUAAAGUGCCCAUGGGGAUAUUGGAGGCUGGGCCCUGACAUCUAAUGCCUGUAGGAGAAAACAGAGGUAGGAGGAAGACGAAGGCCAGGGGAAAAGAUUAGGGAAAGAAAUGUGAGAGCAAUUAGAAAAAAGAAGACUGGGAUUAAAGUGAGAAACAAGACUUUGAACAGUGACAAAUAAUGUCAUGAUAUCUCACAUUAAAAAUUAAAGAAAAAAAUUUAUUGGCAAUGCCCAAUGUGGCUUAGCAGGUUAAGAACCUGACUAGUGUCUGUGAGCAUGCGGGUUCAAUCCCUGACCUCACUCAGUGGGUUAAGGACCAGACGUUGCCACAAGCUGCGGUGCAGGUCACAGAUGUGGUUGGGAUCUGGACAUUGCAGCAGCUGCGGUGUAGGCCAGCAGCUAUAGCUCAGAUUCAGUCCCUAGCCUGGAACUUCCAUUCCACAGGUUCGGCCCUAAAAAGAAAAAAAAAAAGUUGUGAAUUUUUAAAUUAAGGCAUAAUUGAACUUAGAGCUACUUUAUAUUUGCUUUUCAUUUCUAUAAAAAUUGCUCAAAUUCUGCUAAAAUAUAUUGAUACAGGAACAUAUUUUUGCAGUCUCUAACCUCCUCCCUUCCUUCUACCUUUUUAACAGUUCUUGCCCAAUUUUUUGAGAAAUUGUAGCCAGGUACCUGUUCUAAAAAGAAAAAAUGUUUCCAAGCCAACCUGUAAAAAUUAUGAUGUAAAAUCUAUGCAGCAGUGUUUUAUGCUCUAAUGCGUGGAGCGUUAUUGGCUUUAUCUUUCCAAUUCUGAGGUAAAAAUACAAGCUGGACAACUUCUAAUUUUUGUAAUAAAAAUGUGCUGCAUGCAUGUCCAUAUAAUUAAGUAUUAAACUUCACCAUAAACAGGGAGAUUUUCAACCAUAUAAUAGGUUGUAAUGUGCUGUUAUAUUUUAGUUCUCUGUCUCAGGAGCUCUUGUUUUUGCUGUUGUUUUGAUGUUAUUAGUUUUGUUUUGUUUUUCAGAAUAAAUCUGUGUCAAAGAAAAAACAAAA
This 3244-nucleotide long non-coding RNA is filed under the name Sus scrofa (pig). Its description in RNAcentral is "lncRNA (ENSSSCG00025004456.1)". The record is from RNAcentral. Lineage: Eukaryota; Metazoa; Chordata; Mammalia; Artiodactyla; Suidae.